GAUGAACGCUGGCGGCGUGCCUAAUACAUGCAAGUAGAACGCUGAAGCUUGGUGCUUGCACCGAGCGGAUGAGUUGCGCACGGGUGAGUAACGCGUAGGUAACCUGCCUCUUAGCGGGGGAUAACUAUUGGAAACGAUAGCUAAUACCGCAUAAAAGUCGACAUCGCAUGAUGUUGACUUGAAAGGUGCAAUUGCAUCACUAAGAGAUGGACCUGCGUUGUAUUAGCUAGUUGGUGAGGUAACGGCUCACCAAGGCGAGGAUACAGAGCCGACCUGAGAGGAUGGUCGGCCACACUGGGACUGAGACACGGCCCAGAGGCCUAGAGGAGGCAGCAGGAGGGAAUCGGCGGCAAGGGGGGCAACACUGAGCGAGAAACGCCGCGGGAGGGUAGAAGGAUGUCGGAUCGGAAAGCUCGGUUGUAAGGGAGGAAAGAGUGUGAGAGUGGAAAGUACACACUGUGACGGUAACUGAUCAGAAAGGGACGGCUAACUACGUG
Molecule: ribosomal RNA, 497 nt
Filed under: uncultured bacterium
Lineage: Bacteria
Description: partial 16S ribosomal RNA
Rfam family: Bacterial small subunit ribosomal RNA
Source: RNAcentral